Long non-coding RNA from Dendroctonus ponderosae (mountain pine beetle), 446 nucleotides. RefSeq lists it as uncharacterized. The transcript has 2 exons. Lineage: Eukaryota; Metazoa; Arthropoda; Insecta; Coleoptera; Curculionidae. The record is from RefSeq and is a predicted model, not a curated record.
CUGACAUUUGCUAGAUUCAGUUGCGUAUAUUAUUUUAUCAACAAAGUUUUGGCAUAAAUGCUUAACGCAGGGGGACGUUGCACUACAAGAGGUGCGACCAGCAGUGUAAAUUAGUCACUUUUAAGUCUUAAGUUUUAACUUUUAAGAUGCUUGAUUGAUUCAUCCAAUGAUCCGACUUCAAAUAAAGCUUGCCCUAAGAAAAAGUGGCCCUUAACUAAAUUGGGGUCCAUGUCUAAAGCCCUGCGGCAAUCCGUGCAAGCAUUUUCCCAUUUUAGGAGCUUCAAGUAACAUAGGGCUCUGUUCGUAAAGUAGUGAGCCACAUCUGGAUUCUUAAUCUAAAAAUGUGAAGCAGAAUAUAGUGGCAAAAAAGUGUAAUUGUCAGAUUUCAAAAAUACUCACUAUCGCCUUACUGUAUAGAUUGAUAGCAUCAUCAUAUUUCCUAAGAU